Molecule: long non-coding RNA, 783 nt
Organism: Oncorhynchus tshawytscha (Chinook salmon)
Lineage: Eukaryota; Metazoa; Chordata; Actinopteri; Salmoniformes; Salmonidae
Source: Ensembl
CUAGUUUAUAACUUCGGUGGCAUUGAAGCUGUGUUACGUUGCUCAGCGGUAGAUACGCACCGUUCCACCUACCACCCCAUGCAUCAGAUAUUUUGGAGAUUUUCCAUCACCACCAUGGCUGCCGCUUCUUGCUAAUGCACCAACUCAAUCCACAUUCUCGGGCGCACGACUGCAUUUUUGCGAGACGGAUUAAUUUCCCAACGCCCAGGCGGCCGGCAGACGAACCUUGUUUAACUGACCCUGGAGGAUCCAGGACCUCACUCUUACUUCUCAAAAAAUAAGAGUUCCAGUUUGAGGACGUUGUUCGCCCAUCAGCAAAUGAUGCCCAAUUAGGGGAAAGCUGAGUAUUUCAAAGCAUUAUGACUGAACAGGGCCCAACUCUGCUUGGCUCUCUGACUUGAAUGGAAACAAUACAGCAACUUAGAGAAAGAAGCAACAACUCCACGUGCAAGUUUGUCACUGUACGACCAACCCAGGAUGUAAACCACUGUACACCACAACACACACACACUUCCAAAGCCAUCUGAUUGUGUUGUGUCUAUGUCUUUUCUCCUCCGUGGUGGAUAAGGGAUGGGGAAUGAAGGUGGGACUCUGGCCUGUGCUAUGAGAACAGUCAUGUGACAUGACAAGGGCAAGACAAAAAAAAAAAACAUGACAGAUCCAAAAAGAACAGGUAUAAAGACAUUGUAAACAAUAGAUAUAGAAUCUAAUAAUUCCAAUUAUAUGGUUGUAACUUGCUCGGAACAUCACAUUCUCCAUAAAACAAUGUUAAUAGUAUGAAAU